CGGCGGUGCCAAUCCAACAGACCUACCAAUGCAGAACGCGGAGGGAGAGAGGGGAGUCGACCGUGACAAGAAUGUGCCACUGCCAGAUAUGAAUAUUGUUAACCAUGAAAAAGAACCUAUCAACAAGAUCGAUGUGCAGAUAGAAAUAAUAGCAAAUUCGCGUCAUAACAAACCAAGAAGAUCAAAUACAAAUAUUACACCACAAGAUUAUAUUUGCACAGCGGACGAUAUUUCCAUUAUUAAAUCAAUCAUGUCCUUACAUGAAAAAACGAAGUUGGUGCACAUCAAUGAUGCAUUAUUAACAAACGCUGAGAUGAGAUGCCUUACGCAUGAUGAUGUGUUUUUGCAUGAUGAUGUAAUAAAUGCAUACAUAUACUGCAUAAGUGCCCAGGAGCAUCUGCAAAAUAGAGCGGAUGGAAAGGUAUUCCUUCCAAUUAACAUCAGAAAAUGCCACUGGUAUCUAUCAGUAAUCAAUGUGAAGAAACGAGAGAUACAGGUACUGGACUCGCUUGGAGUUGGAAUGGGCCGCAGUGACCUCACUAUGACGUUACAAGGACUUGACAAGCAUCUAAAAAUCGCAUGUGAUAUGCCGGAGUUUAAGAGAGGUGAUAGGUAGCAGGACCUCGAUAUUAUGAAUUGGACAGUCGUAGACAAGUUCCAAGAGCCAAUCCAAACAGAUAGCGCGUCAUGUGGAUUGUUUAUGUUAAAUUGUAUGGAGUAUUGGACUGGAGAUAUUUUGUCUGAUAAUUUCACUCAGGAGGACAUGAAAGAAUUUCGACGAAAAUUAGCUGUCAUAUUGUUGGAGACAGAACUUAAUAAGUUAAAAGGAAGUCCAAUAUAUUAUCGGACUGACAAUGAAGAAAAUGUAUCUGACAAUGAAGAAAAUGUAUUUGAUUCUGAUGUUGAGUUUCUGAAGGACCGAAAGCGUAAGCGGCAAGAUUCACAUGAUGGAGCCGAAGACAAAAGCCCCCUUCGGAACCCCAUCAUGGCCGCGGACCCGCAAGAUUUAGUUGAUGAACUAUGCAACCACAUCAUGUCAAUUAAUGAUGCUACUUCCUUGGAGAGUGGGUGCGAAGUUCUAAACCCCAUCCGAUAGGAUUAAGUCUUAGAAGGAUCCAAGGUAUACUCCGCAGGGACCAGCCGUUGGACAUUGAUUGUUUCAACAUGGCUAUACGCAUACUUGCAAGUGACGAGGCCUUACUGACAAGAGAUCCUCCCGUGCGCUUUAUGGAUCUACAAUUUUAUACGGCCGUGAUUGAAGCUGCCCUCGCUUCCGCACGAGAUUUAGAUUCGCGGGUACAGCCAGAUAUUCAGGCGCUAGCAUCAUUGCUUCGUAGCUCGACUGAGAUAGACCACACCAUCUCAUCAUGCAAUUGGAUAUUGCUUCCUCAUGCAUUCCUCGGCCACUUCAUCUUGUUCGCAAUCGACAAACAUGCCCGUCAAGUAUCUAUUUUGGACCCACUUAUUCCGUCCUUAUCUUCAGAGAGAUAUGCAUUAAAAUUUCAGAGGGUUGCAUUCUACCUGAAUGAUGCACUCGAAUUAGCACAACCGGGUUGGAAGUCUGAUACAUUUUUCUGGCCACGUAAAUCACCAAUUGAUGUUCCGACGAGCGUAGACCGGGAUGAAUCUGGUUAUUUUGUUUUCAAUUUUAUGCUCUCAUGGCAUGGUAACAAAUUUGUUCGUCCAAUUUGCACGGAUGGUUAUCAGUUAAGAAAGAAUUUGUUGAUACACUUGCUCGAGUAUCAUGCGAAUGAAGCUGAAGACAAUACCCCGUAUGAUGUACGAGAAAUUCUCAAGUGCCUGAAGUAGGAAGUUAAUAAGAGAUAAUAAACUGGACUUGAUCUCUACGCAUCGGUAGUCAGACUAUAGUUUCAUUUUAUCAGAAUUUAUUUGUUCAUCUCCAUGGAUUUGUUUUCCGUAUUUGCCAUAUGUUGUGGCUAUUUAUUUAUAAGCUUUUGCGAUGCAAUAUGUAUUGGAGGGGGAAAAAGUUGAGCUUCAUCUGAAGACAGAUGCACUCAUUAUCUUAUUUUCAA
Triticum aestivum (bread wheat) is the source of this 2033-nucleotide long non-coding RNA. RefSeq lists it as uncharacterized. Lineage: Eukaryota; Viridiplantae; Streptophyta; Magnoliopsida; Poales; Poaceae. The record is from RefSeq and is a predicted model, not a curated record. The transcript is spliced from 13 exons.